RNAcentral lists this ribosomal RNA (434 nucleotides) under uncultured Lachnospiraceae bacterium. RNAcentral describes it as "partial 16S ribosomal RNA". It matches the Rfam family "Bacterial small subunit ribosomal RNA", at positions 341 to 792 of the family's 1533-position model. The record is from RNAcentral. Lineage: Bacteria; Bacillati; Bacillota; Clostridia; Lachnospirales; Lachnospiraceae.
ACGGAAGGCAGCAGUGGGGAAUAUUGGACAAUGGGGGAAACCCUGAUCCAGCGACGCCGCGUGAGUGAAGAAGUAUUUCGGUAUGUAAAGCUCUAUCAGCAAGGAAGAAAAUGACGGUACUUGACCAAGAAGCUCCGGCUAAAUACGUGCCAGCAGCCGCGGUAAUACGUAUGGAGCAAGCGUUAUCCGGAUUUACUGGGUGUAAAGGGAGCGUAGACGGCAAAGCAAGUCUGAAGUGAAAUCCCGGGGCUCAACCCCGGAACUGCUUUGGAAACUGUUUAGCUGGAGUGCAGGAGAGGUAAGCGGAAUUCCUAGUGUAGCGGUGAAAUGCGUAGAUAUUAGGAGGAACACCAGUGGCGAAGGCGGCUUACUGGACUGUAACUGACGUUGAGGCUCGAAAGCGUGGGGAGCAAACAGGAUUAGAUACCCUGGUA